Molecule: long non-coding RNA, 369 nt
Organism: Malurus melanocephalus (red-backed fairy wren)
Lineage: Eukaryota; Metazoa; Chordata; Aves; Passeriformes; Maluridae
Exons: 3
Source: RefSeq, a predicted model, not a curated record
CGCCCCGCCCACCGCGCCGCGGCAGCGCCACCCUGCCUCCUGGGGAGGAGCGCUUACCUCAGCCUAUACAGCCACAGAGGUGCAGAAGGGGGAAUAAAGGCCUGUUUCCCUUAUUUCUUGAAUCUGCAUGUGAUUCUGCAAAGCAAGGCAAGCAUUGAAAGGCUGAACUGCUGAGGGCUCUGCUGGACAGAGGCAUCUUCUUGAUGUGUGGAGGAAGAAAAAAGAAAUGAAUACAAGUGCAAUGGAAGGCAGAGUGAGCUCCAUCUAAAUUAAUAAAAAAUGGARCACAAGGCUGUUAUUUUAUUUGUCUUGGAUGUGGCUACAUGACUGCUGAUUAAGUUACACUGCUCAAAACAAGGCAAAACAUCA